CCUUGUGGUUCUGACUGUUUCAGUAGCUUAUAGCCGUGGGCGUAUAAGCUCGUGAUCAACAGGCAGGACCACUUG
Molecule: microRNA precursor, 75 nt
Filed under: Caenorhabditis japonica
Lineage: Eukaryota; Metazoa; Nematoda; Chromadorea; Rhabditida; Rhabditidae
Description: pre miRNA CJA48685
Rfam family: mir-231 microRNA precursor family
Source: RNAcentral